AUACGGAGGGUGCAAACGUUGUUCGGAAUCACUGGGCGUAAAGGGCGCGCAGGCGGUGUGAUUAGUCAGAUGUGAAAGCCCACGGCUUAACCGUGGAAGUGCAUUUGAAACUGUCAGACUUGAGUACCAGAGGGGGUAGUGGAAUUCCCGGUGUAGAGGUGAAAUUCGUAGAUAUCGGGAGGAAUACCGGUGGCGAAGGCGACUACCUGGCUGGAUACUGACGCUGAGGCGCGAAAGCGUGGGGAGCAAACAGGAUUAGAUACCCCAGUAGUCC
This 274-nucleotide ribosomal RNA is filed under the name uncultured bacterium. RNAcentral's name for it is "partial 16S ribosomal RNA". It matches the Rfam family "Bacterial small subunit ribosomal RNA", at positions 523 to 796 of the family's 1533-position model. The record is from RNAcentral.